GAUGAACGCUGGCGGCGUGCCUAAUACAUGCAAGUCGAGCGAACAGACGAGGAGUUUGCUGGGCGGACGUGUGCGGCGGACGGGUGAGUAACGCGAGUAUAAUCUACCUAUAAGACUGGGAUAACUUCGGGACACCGGAGCUAAUAGCGUAUAAGAUAUUGAACCGCAUGGGUCAAUGGAGAAAGUCGGCGUUGCGGUCACUUAUAGCUGGAUCUGGGCUGCUGUAGCUAGUUGUUAAGGUAACGGCUUACCAAGGCGACGAUGCGUAUCCGAAGUGAGAGAGUGGUAGGCCGCAUUGGAGCUGAGACACGGACCAGACGCCUGCGGGACGCAGCAGUCUGGAAUGUUACGCAGUAGGCGAAAGCCUGACGGAGCAACGCCACGUGAGUGACGAAGGUCUCCGGUUCGUAAAGCUCUGUUUUUAGGGAAGAACCGAUGUGUACGUAGCUAUGCACGUCUUGACGGUACCUAAUAAGAAAGCAACGGCUAACUACGUG
Molecule: ribosomal RNA, 497 nt
Filed under: uncultured bacterium
Lineage: Bacteria
Description: partial 16S ribosomal RNA
Rfam family: Bacterial small subunit ribosomal RNA
Source: RNAcentral